GAGCAAUCAGCCUUCACAUCUGAAAGAGCCUAAUAGCAAGCUGCAGCAUUUUUGCAAUGUGAGAGUGAGGAGCUGAGAUGAAAACCCAAGCUUCCUAGUUCCUAAUCCAGAGCUUGUAGUGUCUUUGUGAUACAGCCUUGCAGAGAGGUUAAAAAAAAAUCCCCAAAUGAAAACUGAUGGCUUAUCUAUUUAAAGUAGAGGCAGCAAAUAACUCAUGAAUUCAUGCCUUUGCUUAUUACGUCCCUUGCAGUGGAGAUGGAUGGAUGAGUCGAUCUAUCUCUGCCUACAUGUCUCUCUGCACUAUGCAAGGAAGAUGAGAUAGGUUGGGGAAAGCAGUGAGGUAUGAUGGAUAGAGGACAUGGCCGAGACUCAGAGAACUGAAGAUAUAGCCCUAGUUCUGCCGACAGAGUGAACUUGAGGAAAAGAAAACAUCAGCACCAGAGCCAAACCUAUUUCUCCGGGGAGAGGAUUCCUGCAGGGGAGGUCUGCUCAUGUUCUGGGGGCUGCCCUCCAUCAUGGCUACCUACCUUCGGAAUGUUUGCUUUCACUGGGCCCUCCUGGAUGGAUUGGCAACUCUUCCCAAGUCAGACCCUGGUAUGCCCUUGUUGGUUUCUAGCAGUUAGCAGGCUGGGCAAGGAGGCGACUGGGAAGAGUCCUCCUCAAUGAACGCAUGCGUGUAAGAGGGAAGGAAUGAACUACGAACAGGAAGUAAAUUUCUUUCCAAGAGAAAAAAGCUGGAAAAAUAAUUGUUCCUCUUGUUUAGAAGAUGACAGCUUUUUUUUUUCUUCAUUAAGCGCCCUUCUCUUCAAAAGACAAAAAAGGUAAGAUUCUCUGGGUCAGAAGCCAGACAGACUUUUUCACAGCUCUGAAAAAGUGAGAACAGCGAAUUCACUUCCCUUCUCCCAAAAGGCAUGUGCCACCGGGUGCUCCUGCUCCCUGCAAGAUCCCUUCCUGUAGAGUUAGGAGGUAGAGGUGUGGCUCCGAUGUGUUCCCCAGGCGUCCCUGUGAGGUCGGCGCCCUCCCCUGUCCAUUCCCCUUAGAGCCUUGGGUCGCUUCCCACCCCGCGUCCCCUGGGACACCACUGGACGCCUGGCCCUGCCCGUGAGCGCCGCUCCACUCCGCCUGGAUGUGGGCACGCGGGAAGGCCACUGCCCAGCCGCCACUCCCGGCUUCCCUGAAGGGCAGGGCAGGGGCGGGAACGGAAGGGAGCUGCAUGGAAGGAAGCCGUUUGGGAACUGUGGUUGGUCUGACUGGGUGUUGGGUUUGUGGCUACCCAGAGAAAGGCACGGAGUUAGCCCUUCGCAGUGGGUGACGCCCUGCUCCUCGCCCGGUCCCCCUCAGCUCAGCCUCCUGUGAAAGAGAAUCUGGGGCUACAACGCACUUCCCUCCCCAACUCCGGGGAACGCCGUCUCCCUGCAGCGUAGUAGGAAAGGCGCCCCUGCAGGGGUGCAGCUGCAGCCCCAGGGAGAAGCCCCUUCAAC
This 1481-nucleotide long non-coding RNA is filed under the name Homo sapiens (human). RNAcentral describes it as "non-protein coding lnc-TMEM163-6:1". Lineage: Eukaryota; Metazoa; Chordata; Mammalia; Primates; Hominidae. The record is from RNAcentral.